RNAcentral lists this ribosomal RNA (1346 nucleotides) under uncultured bacterium. Its description in RNAcentral is "partial 16S ribosomal RNA". It matches the Rfam family "Bacterial small subunit ribosomal RNA", at positions 28 to 1381 of the family's 1533-position model. The record is from RNAcentral.
GACGAACGCUUGCGGCGUGCUUAACACAUGCAAGUCGAACGGAAAGGCCCUGCUUUUGUGGGGUGCUCGAGUGGCGAACGGGUGAGUAACACGUGAGUAACCUGCCCUUGACUUUGGGAUAACUUCAGGAAACUGGGGCUAAUACCGGAUAGGAGCUCCUGCUGCAUGGUGGGGGUUGGAAAGUUUCGGCGGUUGGGGAUGGACUCGCGGCUUAUCAGCUUGUUGGUGGGGUAGUGGCUUACCAAGGCUUUGACGGGUAGCCGGCCUGAGAGGGUGACCGGCCACAUUGGGACUGAGAUACGGCCCAGACUCCUACGGGAGGCAGCAGUGGGGAAUAUUGCACAAUGGGCGGAGGCCUGAUGCAGCAACGCCGCGUGCGGGAUGACGGCCUUCGGGUUGUAAACCGCUUUCGCCUGUGACGAAGCGUGAGUGACGGUAAUGGGUAAAGAAGCACCGGCUAACUACGUGCCAGCAGCCGCGGUGAUACGUAGGGUGCGAGCGUUGUCCGGAUUUAUUGGGCGUAAAGGGCUCGUAGGUGGUUGAUCGCGUCGGAAGUGUAAUCUUGGGGCUUAACCCUGAGCGUGCUUUCGAUACGGGUUGACUUGAGGAAGGUAGGGGAGAAUGGAAUUCCUGGUGGAGCGGUGGAAUGCGCAGAUAUCAGGAGGAACACCAGUGGCGAAGGCGGUUCUCUGGGCCUUUCCUGACGCUGAGGAGCGAAAGCGUGGGGAGCGAACAGGCUUAGAUACCCUGGUAGUCCACGCUGUAAACGGUGGGUACUAGGUGUGGGGUCCAUUCCACGGGUUCCGUGCCGUAGCUAACGCUUUAAGUACCCCGCCUGGGGAGUACGGCCGCAAGGCUAAAACUCAAAGGAAUUGACGGGGCCCCGCACAAGCGGCGGAGCAUGCGGAUUAAUUCGAUGCAACGCGUAGAACCUUACCUGGGUUUGACAUGGAUCGGGAGUGCUCAGAGAUGGGUGUGCCUCUUUUGGGGUCGGUUCACAGGUGGUGCAUGGCUGUCGUCAGCUCGUGUCGUGAGAUGUUGGGUUAAGUCCCGCAACGAGCGCAACCCUUGUUCACUGUUGCCAGCACGUUAUGGUGGGGACUCAGUGGAGACCGCCGGGGUCAACUCGGAGGAAGGUGGGGAUGACGUCAAGUCAUCAUGCCCCUUAUGUCCAGGGCUUCACGCAUGCUACAAUGGCUGGUACAGAGAGUGGCGAGCCUGUGAGGGUGAGCGAAUCUCGGAAAGCCGGUCUCAGUUCGGAUUGAGGUCUGCAACUCGACCUCAUGAAGUCGGAGUCGCUAGUAAUCGCAGAUCAGCAACGCUGCGGUGAAUACGUUCCCGGGGCU